RNAcentral lists this ribosomal RNA (773 nucleotides) under uncultured bacterium. Its description in RNAcentral is "bacterial SSU rRNA". It matches the Rfam family "Bacterial small subunit ribosomal RNA", at positions 79 to 842 of the family's 1533-position model. The record is from RNAcentral.
CUUGCUUCUCUUGAGAGCGGCGGACGGGUGAGUAAUGCCUAGGAAUCUGCCUGGUAGUGGGGGAUAACGUCCGGAAACGGACGCUAAUACCGCAUACGUCCUACGGGAGAAAGCAGGGGACCUUCGGGCCUUGCGCUAUCAGAUGAGCCUAGGUCGGAUUAGCUAGUUGGUGGGGUAAUGGCUCACCAAGGCGACGAUCCGUAACUGGUCUGAGAGGAUGAUCAGUCACACUGGAACUGAGACACGGUCCAGACUCCUACGGGAGGCAGCAGUGGGGAAUAUUGGACAAUGGGCGAAAGCCUGAUCCAGCCAUGCCGCGUGUGUGAAGAAGGUCUUCGGAUUGUAAAGCACUUUAAGUUGGGAGGAAGGGCAGUAAAUUAAUACUUUGCUGUUUUGACGUUACCGACAGAAUAAGCACCGGCUAACUCUGUGCCAGCAGCCGCGGUAAUACAGAGGGUGCAAGCGUUAAUCGGAAUUACUGGGCGUAAAGCGCGCGUAGGUGGUUCGUUAAGUUGGAUGUGAAAUCCCCGGGCUCAACCUGGGAACUGCAUUCAAAACUGACGAGCUAGAGUAUGGUAGAGGGUGGUGGAAAUUUCCUGUGUAGCGGUGAAAUGCGUAGAUAUAGGAAGGAACACCAGUGGCGAAAGCGACCCACCUGGACUGAUACUGACACUGAGGUGCGAAAGCGUGGGGAGCAAACAGGAUUAGAUACCCUGAUAGUCCACGCUGUAAACGAUGUCAACUAGCCAGUUGGGAAGCCUUUGAGCUUCUUA